RNAcentral lists this transfer RNA (76 nucleotides) under Fibrobacter intestinalis. RNAcentral's name for it is "tRNA_Cys_GCA". It matches the Rfam family "tRNA". From Rfam's summary of the family: Transfer RNA (tRNA) molecules are approximately 80 nucleotides in length. Their secondary structure includes four short double-helical elements and three loops (D, anti-codon, and T loops). RNAcentral also lists the same sequence under 1 other name. Lineage: Bacteria; Pseudomonadati; Fibrobacterota; Fibrobacteria; Fibrobacterales; Fibrobacteraceae. The record is from RNAcentral.
GGCGACGUACCCAAGUUGGUAAGGGACGGCUCUGCAAAAGCCUCAUUCCUCAGUUCGAGUCUGAGCGUUGCCUCGA